This 520-nucleotide ribosomal RNA is filed under the name uncultured bacterium. RNAcentral's name for it is "bacterial SSU rRNA". It matches the Rfam family "Archaeal small subunit ribosomal RNA", at positions 345 to 866 of the family's 1478-position model. The record is from RNAcentral.
AACCUCCGCAAUGUGAGAAAUCGCGACGGGGGGAUCCCAAGUGCCAUUCUUAACGGGAUGGCUUUUCAUUAGUGUAAAAAGCUUUUGGAAUAAGAGCUGGGCAAGACCGGUGCCAGCCGCCGCGGUAACACCGGCAGCUCUAGUGGUAGCAAUUUUUAUUGGGCCUAAAGCGUCCGUAGCCGGUUUAAUAAGUCUCUGGUGAAAUCCUGUAGCUUAACUGUGGGAAUUGCUGGAGAUACUAUUAGACUUGAGACCGGGAGAGGUUAGAGGUACUCCCAGGGUAGAGGUGAAAUUCUGUAAUCCUGGGAGGACCGCCUGUUGCGAAGGCGUCUAACUGGAACGGUUCUGACGGUGAGGGACGAAAGUUAGGGGCGCGAACCGGAUUAGAUACCCGGGUAGUCCUAACUGUAAACGAUGCGGACUUGGUGUUGGGGUGGCUUUGAGCUGCUCCAGUGCCGAAGGGAGCUGUUAAGUCCGCCGCCUGGGAAGUACGGUCGCAAGACUGAAACUUAAAGGAAUU